UACGUAGGAUGCGAGCGUUAUCCGGAUUUAUUGGGUUUAAAGGGUGCGUAGGCGGUAUGGUAAGUCAGCGGUAAAAUCGCGGGGCUCAACCCCGCUCCGCCGUUGAAACUGUGUCCCUUGAGUGCGCGAAGGGUAUGCGGAAUGCGUGGUGUAGCGGUGAAAUGCAUAGAUAUCACGCAGAACCCCGAUUGCGAAGGCAGCAUACCGGUGCACAACUGACGCUCAAGCACGAAAGCGUGGGUAUCGAACAGG
This 252-nucleotide ribosomal RNA is filed under the name uncultured Bacteroidales bacterium. Its description in RNAcentral is "partial 16S ribosomal RNA". It matches the Rfam family "Bacterial small subunit ribosomal RNA", at positions 524 to 776 of the family's 1533-position model. The record is from RNAcentral. Lineage: Bacteria; Pseudomonadati; Bacteroidota; Bacteroidia; Bacteroidales.